GACGAACGCUGGCGGCGUGCUUAACACAUGCAAGUCGAACGGAAAGGCCCCCAUCUUGGUGGGGGUGCUCGAGUGGCGAACGGGUGAGUAACACGUGGGUGAUCUGCCCUGUACUUCGGGAUAAGCUUGGGAAACUGGGUCUAAUACCGGAUAGGACCAUGGUUUAGUGUCUCAUGGAGGAAAGAUUAUUGUUUUGGUGCAGGAUGAGCUCGCGGCCUAUCAGCUUGUUGGUGGGGUAAUGGCCUACCAAGGCGUCGACGGGUAGCCGGCCUGAGAGGGUGGACGGCCACAUUGGGACUGAGAUACGGCCCAGACUCCUACGGGAGGCAGCAGUGGGGAAUAUUGCACAAUGGGCGCAAGCCUGAUGCAGCGACGCCGCGUGGGGGAUGACGGCCUUCGGGUUGUAAACUCCUUUCGUUAGGGACGAAGCCGCACUUUUUUUGGGUGUGGUGACGGUACCUUUGUUAAGAAGCACCGGCUAACUACGUG
RNAcentral lists this ribosomal RNA (489 nucleotides) under uncultured bacterium. Its description in RNAcentral is "partial 16S ribosomal RNA". It matches the Rfam family "Bacterial small subunit ribosomal RNA", at positions 28 to 507 of the family's 1533-position model. The record is from RNAcentral.